Molecule: ribosomal RNA, 395 nt
Filed under: uncultured bacterium
Lineage: Bacteria
Description: bacterial SSU rRNA
Rfam family: Bacterial small subunit ribosomal RNA
Source: RNAcentral
GUGCCAGCCGCCGCGGUAAUACGUAGGGGGCAAGCGUUGUCCGGAAUCAUUGGGCGUAAAGAGCGCGUAGGCGGCCAGAUAAGUCCGGUGUGAAAGUCCCAAGCUCAACCUGGGAAUGCCGCCGGAAACUGUCUGGCUAGAGUCCGGAAGGGGCCAGUGGAAUUCCCGGUGUAGCGGUGAAAUGCGCAGAUAUCGGGAGGAACACCAAUGGCGAAGGCGGCUGGCUGGGACGGUACUGACGCUGAGGCGCGAAAGCGUGGGGAGCGAACAGGAUUAGAUACCCUGGUAGUCCACGCUGUAAACGAUGGGCACUAGGUGUGGGAGGUGUCGACUCCUCCCGUGCCGCAGCUAACGCAUUAAGUGCCCCGCCUGGGGAGUACGGCCGCAAGGCUAAA